AGCAGCCGCGGUAAUUCCAGCUCCAAUAGCGUAUAUUAAAGUUGUUGCAGUUAAAAAGCUCGUAGUUGAAUUUCGGGGUUAGUAGGUUGGUCAUGCCUCUGGUAUGUACUGGUCUCACUGAUUCCUCCUUCCUGAUGAACCGUAAUGCCAUUAAUUUGGUGUUUCGGGGAAUUUGGACUGUUACUUUGAAAAAAUUAGAGUGUUUAAAGCAAGCUAACGCUUGAAUACAUUAGCAUGGAAUAAUGAAAUAGGACGUUCGAUCCUAUUUUGUUGGCUUCUAGGAUUGACGUAAUGAUUAAUAGGGAUAGUUGGGGGCAUUAGUAUUCAAUUGUCAGAGGUGAAAUUCUUGGAUUUAUUGAAGACUAACUACUGCGAAAGCAUUUGCCAAGGAUGUUUUCAUUAAUCAAGAACGAAAGUUAGGGGAUCGAAGACGAUCAGAUACCGUCGUAGUCUUAACCAUAAACUAUGCCGACUAGGGAUCGGAUGAUGUUAAUUUUUUAAUGACUCAUUCGGCGCCUUACG
Molecule: ribosomal RNA, 522 nt
Filed under: uncultured Glomeromycotina
Lineage: Eukaryota; Fungi; Glomeromycota
Description: SSU rRNA
Rfam family: Eukaryotic small subunit ribosomal RNA
Source: RNAcentral